AAAAAUCGAGAAAUAUCUGUUGAGUUUAAGAGAUGGCAUGCGCAUUUCAUCCACACACUGGAAUGAACAAGCCAAGAGCUGUGAGGAGGAAAUGAGGGCUUACUUUACUUGCCAAACUGGCAAAAGUCAUCGUCUUCAUCAUGAAUAGCAGGCAUGUUCUGAUUGGCUAGCUAAGCAAAGCUGCAAGAGGAUGUGCUCCGUCCUCUUUCGAGUCGGGAUAAAUGUCCAGCUCCAUAACAAGUUUUGUUUUGUUACUGUUAAUUCCGUGAGUAGCUGUUUUGCUGUCUCGAGAUGGUUGCAGUCUUGCUUCUGUAAAAACCAUAGUUCUGGUUGAAUGAAAAUUCUGCUUGUUUGUUGGCCAAAAGGGAAACUUCAAAAAGAAUCACUAUCUAUCAUUGUCUAGACUCUUAAGCGUGUUUUGUUAUUAAUUGAACUGUGAUUGUGAGUUGUUUGAAUUAAAUUUCAGACAACCCAAUUCAUCUUCCUCUCUCCCUAGUUGUCUUAUCCUUUCAGACUUCGUCG
Molecule: long non-coding RNA, 522 nt
Filed under: Theobroma cacao (cacao)
Lineage: Eukaryota; Viridiplantae; Streptophyta; Magnoliopsida; Malvales; Malvaceae
Description: long non-coding RNA (TCAC_LNC006318)
Source: RNAcentral